This 3329-nucleotide long non-coding RNA is filed under the name Sarcophilus harrisii (Tasmanian devil). Its description in RNAcentral is "lncRNA (ENSSHAG00000022060.1)". Lineage: Eukaryota; Metazoa; Chordata; Mammalia; Dasyuromorphia; Dasyuridae. The record is from RNAcentral.
GUCGAUACAAAAUACACUCUUCUAUAUCCCAUAUUCUUUCUAACAAGCUCAGUCUACUGAGAUGCAAAUGAUUAAGCCCAGAUUUUGGCCACUUCAAAAUUGCAAAUAGCUGUGAUGCACAUCAGAGCAAAAUCAUCAGAGCAAUGUCCUCAAGUACAUUUCUCCCAAAUGCCUUAGGUCUCCAUUGUGAGCUGCUUUUCCUGUCCUAAGCUCAAAGGUAUGUCUUUAAUCUAUUAUAUAGCUCAUUGCAUUUUUCUUCAGUCACCAGGAUCUUUAUCAAUAUAUUUGUCUGUCUCUGCUAUUUCAAAUCAAGAGGGAAAUAGAUGAGCCAAGUUUCAAAACCUGAAACGGAUUCUUAGCUCCUGGCCCUCUAUAGGGGUAGGAGGGGAUGGAGGUUCCAGAACAACAGCAGCAUUAGCAACUGGCCAGCAGCCAGCCUCACAUUAGGGGGUCUGCAGCAAGGCUCUAAUCCUGGAGCAAUUCACCAGUGAGACCUGCAAACUGGCAUCCCUUAGGUAAGGGAGCAGAUCAACAAGGUCAAGCACAAACCACCAGCCAGGCUUUGAUCCCAUUUCUGAUCUAUAAUGUAGCAUCACCCUGGGGCUGACCAUCAGUGAGACCCCACUGUGGGGCCUACUAGCAGAGUCCCUGUGUUCACAGCAACCCAGCAGCAGAGCCCUGCCCCUGGGGCUGAAGCAAAGAAAGCAGGCUAGCAAUCAUGAUGUCACAUUUUGCAAAAGCAAAAAUUUAACUAGUUAAAAGACAUAAAGAAAAAAGCUCUCUUCGUGAAAGGUACUAUAGGCAAUGAACUCAUAUUAAAACUAAACAUAUAUGUGCAAAUAUAGAAUCUAUAUAGAGAUAUAUAGAUAGAUUCUAUAUAUAAUCUAAAUUUUUGAAGUUGAAUGAGUUAGAGGGAAAUAGAUAAUAAAACUAUCCUAGGAGAGAGCUCAGUUUUUCCUUCUCAGAACUAGAUAAAUCUAACCAAAAAUAAAUGAAAAAGAAGUUAAUGAGAUAAAGUAAAAUUUUAGAACAAUUAGAUAUGGUAGAUCUCUGGAGAAAAUUGAAUAGGGACAGAAAUAUACCUUUUUCUCAGCAGUACAUGGCAUCUAUGUAAAAAAAUGAUCAUGUAUUAGGGCAUAAAAACCUCACAAUCAAAUGCAGAAAGGCAAAAAUAGUAAACGCUUUCUUUUUAGAUCAUGAUGCAAUAAAAAUUGUGUUCAAUAAAGGACCAUGGAAAGAUAGACUAAAAACCAAUUGGAAACUAAAUAAUCUAAUCCUAAAAAACAAAUUGGCCAAAAGAAUUCAUCAUAGAAACUAAUCCCCCUAGUUUGUUUAUUUUGUGGUUAGAUUUAUCUAAUUCUGAGAGGGGAAGACUUUUUUUUUUGGGGGGGGGGUCAUGGCCUUCAGGUAGGCCAAUAAUUUUUAAAUGGUUCUCUCCUGGAUAUAUUUUUCCAAUGAGGUAUUUUGCAUUUUCUUCCUUUUUUCAUUCAUUUUUGUUUAUUUGACCGAUUCUUGUUGUCUCAGUCGUUAGCUUCCAUUUGCCCAGUUCUAGUUUUUAUAUCUCUUUUUCCAUUUGAUUAAUCUUACCUUUCCAGAUGUUUUCUUUCGUGGAUUUUUUUUUUUUUUUGCAUUAUAUCAAUUGUAUUUUUUAAGGAAUUAUUUUACUUGUUUACUUUAAAUAAUAGCUUUUGAUUCUCAAAAUGCCUGCAGAGAUACAUGCAAAGCUGCUGGUGAGUCUGCUUAUCUCCAGUCUUUCUCUAUACCAGUCCACCCUCCGUUCAGCUGCCCAAGUGAACAAGUCUGACCAUCCCAUGCCCCACUCAAUAAACUCCAGUGGCUCCUAUCGCCUCCAGGAUCCAGCUAAGUCUUACUCUGGCACCCAAAGCCUUUCCAGCCUGGCCCCGUCCCUCCAUUUCAUUUCUCUUACACGAGUAGUCCAGUGAUACUGGUCCCUUGUCAAUCCCAGGGCAUGGCACCCCAUCUCUGAGCUUGGGCACGUCCCCCAUCCUGGACUCCUCUCCCUGCUCCUCUUCCCCUUCUGCUCGCCUGCCAUUCCCUCCAGCUGAUCCCGUGUAUGUUUGCCACCGCCUCCAUUAGACGGGGCAGAGCCGGGCUCUCCCUUUCUUUGUGUCCCAGCGCUCAGGGCAGCCUCGUAGGGUCGCCAGUCAGCACAUUUAGCAGCAGGUGAAGGAGUGACCGAGGGGUGGGUGGUGAGCCAAGGCUGAGGCUUGGCAGGCAGACUCCUGACGGGAUAAGGGGCCCAGGGACCGGAGGGAAGACAGCGCACAGAGUCUUCCAAGGGGUCAAGAUGGGGGAAGCCAGGAGCAGACACUGCAGAGGGAAGGCUGUGGGAAAGAACUGGGCCAGGAGGCACAUGGUGAGAAUAAUAAACAAGGGAGUGGGGGUAAAAUGACUCGGGGAAGGGGAUUCCAGAGUUCAGAGGGGAACCCUUGUGGGUGAAGGCGAGAGCCAGGAUCUGACCCUCUCUGUGGGGGGCUGAGGUGGAGAUCCUGAGAAAGGGGGGCUGAGGAGGAGAAGGGACCAUCACUGAAUGUUUUAGAAAGGCAGACCUCUGGGGUCCCGGAGGCUGGCUGACAGUAGCCCUAGAAUUGUGACUACAGGGUAGAUCCGGGCUGAGUGAGUCCAUAGGAAGUGAUGGUGGCUGAAGGGAGCCAGGAGGACUCCAGCUCCCCGUCAGUAACCGGGGAGCGAGAGAACAGGCAGUUCUAGAAGGGUGCCCUGGAGGCUGCAUCAUCCAGUCCAGUCUCAAUGAGUCAGAAGGAGGGAAGCAAGGCCAGCUUGUCACCGGGAGCACAGGGGAGCUUUAGAAUGGGUCCCUGGGAGGGAGGAGAUAAGGGGCUUUGAACAAUGGCAGCCAAUUCAGAUUCACCAGAUGGGGCCAGUUAAUCAUUGAGGAAAAAAGGGAGGUUCCCCCUUAUCCCAGGGGAUCAGUCUCAGGGUGCUCGGCAGCGGCAUAUCAUAUGCAGCGGCAUAUCGGGCACAGCUGGCAACCGGGCACAGCUGGCAGCCGGUCUCUGCCCUCAGGGAGCCAGCCCACAGCCUGGCACAAACGUCUCCAAGCAAACCCGUGGUGCCCGGGAUAAGCACCGGCAAAGCCCAUCUGGGAAGCUGAGGACACGGGGCUUGUGGGACAGCCCAGGAAUGGGCUCGGGCAGAAUGGCCACAGUCAUGUCCUUUUCGGUGCCGAUCACCCAGAUGGUGUCCAGAUGGUGAGACUUUGGAGGGGCUUCAGGGCACAGUGUGGGCCUGGCGGGGAGCACAGGGCAGGGAGCUGAGCCAGCAGGGAGGACCAUCUGCUACGCUGCCAG